Molecule: ribosomal RNA, 252 nt
Filed under: uncultured bacterium
Lineage: Bacteria
Description: partial 16S ribosomal RNA
Rfam family: Bacterial small subunit ribosomal RNA
Source: RNAcentral
UACGAAGGGGGCUAGCGUUGCUCGGAAUUACUGGGCGUAAAGGGCGCGUAGGCGGAUCGUUAAGUCAGAGGUGAAAGCCCAGGGCUCAACCCUGGAAUUGCCUUUGAUACUGGCGAUCUUGAGUACGGGAGAGGUGUGUGGAACUCCGAGUGUAGAGGUGAAAUUCGUAGAUAUUCGGAAGAACACCAGUGGCGAAGGCGACACACUGGCCCGUUACUGACGCUGAGGCGCGAAGCGUGGGGAGCAAACAGG